CUAACAAGGAUUCCCCUAGUAGCGGCGAGCGAAGCGGGAAGAGCUCAAAUUUGUAAUCUGGCGCUUUCAGCGUCCGAGUUGUAAUCUCUAGAAAUGUUUUCCGCGUUGCACCGCACACAAGUCUGUUGGAAUACAGCGGCACAGUGGUGAGACCCCCGUUCAUGGUGCGGAUGCGCAAUGCUUUGUGAUACAUUUUCGAAGAGUCGAGUUGUUUGGGAAUGCAGCUCAAAUUGGGUGGUAAAUUCCAUCUAAAGCUAAAUAUUGGCGAGAGACCGAUAGCGAACAAGUACCGUGAGGGAAAGAUGAAAAGCACUUUGGAAAGAGAGUUAACAGUACGUGAAAUUGUUGGAAGGGAAACGCUUGAAGUCAGACUUGCUGUUCGGAGUUCAGCCGCAAGGUGUACUCUCCGAGUUGCAGGCCAGCAUCAGUUUUUCGGGGUGGAAAAUCACGGUUUGAAGGUAGCAGUUUCGGCUGUGUUAUAGCUUUCCGUUGGAUACAUCCUGGGGGACUGAGGAACGCAGUGUGCUUUUAGCAGGGGUUUCGACUCUUCACACUUAGGAUGCAGGAGGAAUG
Molecule: ribosomal RNA, 573 nt
Filed under: Rhodosporidiobolus colostri
Lineage: Eukaryota; Fungi; Basidiomycota; Microbotryomycetes; Sporidiobolales; Sporidiobolaceae
Description: eukaryotic LSU rRNA
Rfam family: Eukaryotic large subunit ribosomal RNA
Source: RNAcentral